UAGUAAUAGUUAUAUUCUUGAAACUUAAAGAAUUUGGCGGUAUUUUAAUCUUUUCAGAGGAACCUGUUCUGUAAUCGAUAUUCCUCGUUAAAUUUUACUAAAUUAUUUGUAUAUCGUUGUCGAAAGAAUAAAUUUUCUAAUAUUUUUAUUAAAAUAAAUGUCAAAUCAAGGUGCAGUUUAUAAUUUAGUAGAAAUGGGUUACAAUAAAUGUAUUUAGGAUUUUAAUAAAGGUGGAUUUGAAAGUAAAUAAAUU
This 253-nucleotide ribosomal RNA is filed under the name Rhadinopsylla dahurica dahurica. RNAcentral's name for it is "partial 12S ribosomal RNA". The record is from RNAcentral. Lineage: Eukaryota; Metazoa; Arthropoda; Insecta; Siphonaptera; Ctenophthalmidae.